RNAcentral lists this unclassified non-coding RNA (2085 nucleotides) under Patiria miniata (bat star). Its description in RNAcentral is "leucine-rich repeat-containing protein 74B-like, transcript variant X6". Lineage: Eukaryota; Metazoa; Echinodermata; Asteroidea; Valvatida; Asterinidae. The record is from RNAcentral.
AAGUGCAGAGAUCAAUCAAUCAAUUAGCGGUAGGACGGCCCCAUAGCAACACAAACAGUCCACACAAAGGGCGCCAUUUUUCCAUUGAACGCCUACAAUGUGUGCAAUGAUGUACACAAUAAAUGCUAGACGCUUUCACUAGCGCUAACCCGGGGGUUUCAACUAGAAAAGAACGAAGUAAUACUUCAGUAGUCACUGCGUCUCUCUGUAUGGGGUUAAUUUAGUGCAAAAUUUGACCCAGAACUAAAGGGACGAAAAUGUCGAACGAAAAUGAGCCAGACGAGCAAACGGAAGAGGCAGAAAUGGAGUUUGUAACGGACGAGAAUGCCAACAAGACACCGGCGGGAAGUCGGGCCCCGAGCCGGGCCAAGAGCCGUGGAAGUAUCGGUGAUGAACGCAAGACAAUAACGAGGAAGGGUGGUCGCUCGACAGCUCGGCCAGAGAGCAGACUGUCUGGAGUGGAUGAUAACGAAUCCCCAGUUGAUGAAAUGGCCCAAUCAGAGACAACGUACAGUGAGAGCAGUGGUUUUGAUACGGACCUCGAGGUGGAAGAAACCAUUUUGGCACUGAGACGAAAUGUUCGGGAAGCGUAUGACGCAUCCGGUAAAUCAACGUACAAAGAAGCGUGUCGGCUGAACGGUGUGAUUCCUGUAUCCUACUUCCUAAGACACAUAGCUGAUUCUGAGUUGACGAUGAAGCAUCAUGGUCUCGGACCUGCUGGAGCCAAGGCUAUCGCUAUAUCCCUGGUGACUAACACGACAAUCUGUAAGCUGAACCUGAGUGAUAAUUGGCUGGAUGCUGUAGGAGGAGUUGCCAUUGCUGAUAUGCUCAAAGAAAACUGCUACAUUACUGAUCUGGACCUUUCUGAGAAUAAAUUGGGUAACACCGGUGCCAAAGCUCUGAGUGAAAUGCUUCUACAGAACAGCACAUUAACACAUCUCACAUUAAAAGGAAACAGUUUUGAAGACAAGAGUGCAGAAUAUUUUGCUGAGGUUCUUUUGAACAACAGCAAAGUUGAGUACUUAAAUCUGAGCCACAAUGAAUUCAGUGAGGCUGCCGGUCUGCUGCUUGGCCCAGCAAUCUCAGAAAAUAUCAGCAUCCGACAUAUCGACCUGAGCUGGAAUCACGUCAGAAGGAAAGGAGCAUUAGCUCUGGCUAGAGGCAUCAUGAACAAUAUCGGUCUGAAGAUCAUGAACCUCUCCUGGAAUGGCUUUGGCAAUGAAGGAGCUCAGGCAUUAGGUGAAGCACUCAAGAUGAAUAGUUCCUUGGAAGAACUGGACAUCACGAAUAACAGAAUGUCUGGUGAAGGAGCAGUUUUCCUGGGGAAAGGUUUGAGCAAUAAUGAGACGCUCAAGAUUCUGAGAAUCGGGAAGAACCCCAUGCAAACUGCAGGAGCAUUCGCCAUCUUAAAAGCCAUCAAAGAUAACACUAACACUAUCAUGGAUGAACUGGAUUUUUCAGGGAUCCAAGUCAACAAAGAAUUUGAAGAUCUUUACAAUCAGUUAAAGGAAACACGGCCAAGCAUCAAGGUCCAUCACGGCGGCAUGAAGGAGACCGUCAAACCCAAACAGAAGCUCAACCCGAUGCUCAAACUCCAACGCUACAUCCAGAAGAACAACUUACGCUUGGUGGAUUUCUUCAACAAGUUUGAUAAAGAUGGAAGUAUGAGUGUGACAUAUGACGAGUUUGAAGAAGGACUCAUAGAGAGUGGUAUAGACCUUUCCAAAGAAGAGAUAGCGUUUAUGAUUGCUGAAUUGGACAAAGAUGGCGACGGUGAAAUCAACUACAGUUCCAUCUACCGAUCUGUCUUAGUGCAUGAUCGUGGGGCACGGCAACCAGCCAUGUUUUGCACUGGUUCCCUACAGUCAGCAGCAGCUAUCACUAUAGCGUUAACAUUCAGCUCUGUUAAUCCUCUCUUCUCAACCUAAACAAACUUCAUCUUAUUCACAUCGUCUUGCUACUUUGCUCGACUCCUUUUGCCCAUAUUGCAUGCUAUAUGGUGUUAGGCCUCAGCACCAGGUGACCCCGCCCCCUUCCAUUGCUUUGCCCCUCCCACUCAUGACCCUUAACCUUUGACACAGUCAG